Molecule: RNA transcript, 5710 nt
Organism: Columba livia (rock pigeon)
Lineage: Eukaryota; Metazoa; Chordata; Aves; Columbiformes; Columbidae
Gene: VWA2
Gene name: von Willebrand factor A domain containing 2
Exons: 16
Source: RefSeq, a predicted model, not a curated record
CCCCUCGCAGCCGCAGCCCGGCGGGGGCGGGCGGGCCGGGGCCGCGGAGCCCGGGCGAGCACAUGGGCGGGCCGGGGCGGUGCUGCCGAGCGGGACGAAGAGCUGGUUGUGCCCGGAUUUGUGACCAUGAACCUCUUGUCAUUUGAGUCCGCCUGCAUUUUCCUGCUUCCCCAAGUUUUGCUGGUGUUGGGUAUUCAAGAAAUUCAUACUGACCAGGAGAUGAUCGGCAAGAUCUCAGCUGCUGGCCAGCUGAUGCAGUGCUCGGCUUCCUUAGAUGUCCUUUUCCUCUUGGACGGCUCCUACAGCAUCGGCAAAGGAAGCUUUGAAAGGUCUAAGCACUUUGCAGGCAAGCUCUGUGAUGCCUUGGACAUCCAUCCAGACAGGGUCCGCGUGGGAAUGAUACAGUUUAGCUCAACUCCCCACCUUGAAUUCCCACUGGAUUUGUAUCUAACCAAACAAGAAGUGAAAGAGCGAAUCAGGACGAUUGUGUUCAGAGGUGGGAGCACAGAGAUAGGUCGAGCUCUGAAGUAUAUUCUACGCAAAGGAUUCCCUGGUGGCAGAAACUCAAGUGUCCCUGAAGUCAUGAUCAUCAUUUCGGAUGGAAAGUCCCAGGACAGCACUGCAAUGCCUGCAAUGCAGGUGAAGGAGAGACACAUCAUGGUUUUUGCAGUGGGAAUCAAGUUUCCAAGGUGGGAAGAGCUGCACAUGCUGGCCAGUGAGCCCACCGAGCAGCACGUGCUCUUUGCUGGAGAUGCCAAUGAUGCUGCCAAUGGCCUGUACAGCACCCUGACCGGCUCUGUCUGCAGCGCCAGCGCUCCAGGCUGCAACGUUGAGUCCCACCCUUGCGAACGCAGGACCCUGGAGACUGUGAAAGAGCUGGCUGGAAAUUACGUGUGUUGGAAAGGCUCAAAGCAGCCAAAUGCAGUGCGUGCGUCGCUGUGCCCUUUCUACAGAUGGAAGAGAGUCUUGAUAAAACACCCAUCCAGAUGCUUCCGAACUGUAUGCUCAGACCCCUGUGACACCCAGCCAUGCCAGAACGGGGGCACGUGUGUCCCAGACGGACUGGACAAGUACCACUGCCUCUGCCCGCUGGGCUACGGAGGAGACAUCCACUGCGCACCGAAGCUGAGCCUUGAGUGCAGUGUGGAUCUCCUUUUCCUGGUGGACAGCUCAGCAGGGGUCACGCUGGAAGGUUUCCUGCGCUACAAGGCGUUCCUCAAGAGGUUCCUCCAAGCAGUCAUGGGCCAGGACUCGCCAAUGAAUGUGGGAGUGGCCCAGUACAAUGACACUGUCAUGAUACCCAUUGAAGUGGGCCAAUACAAGGAUGCAUUCAGUCUCAUGAAGAGCAUUGAUGCUUUGAAUUUCAGUGGAGGAAGAACCCUGACAGGCAGAGCCCUACAGUACAUUGCACAGCAUGGUUUUAGGAGUGCCCCGGUCUUUGCAGACGUGCAGGAUGAGCUCCCACGUGUUGUUGUCUUGCUCACUGACUCCAAGUCCCAGGAUCCAGUGGCAGAAGCCGCUAAGUAUGCGAGGGACCAAGGUCUCUUCUUGAUCGCUGUAGGCAGCAGCUUCAUGAGAGCAGAGCUGACUGAGGUGACUGGCAAUCCAAAGCGGACAAUUGCUUAUUUGGACCCCCAGGACCUGUUAAACAGGAUCCCAGAGCUGCAGAGAAGAAUCUGCAGUGUGGACAAUCCUGAAGGCUGCCAGGCGCAGUCUCUUGAUUUGGCGUUUGCAGUGGAUGCCUCGGCUGGAGUUGGCCUGGAGAAUUUUGUGCGGCUGAGAGGCUUUGUCAGGAGCAGCUGUUCGUACUUCAGCAUCAACCGGGAUGUCACCCAAAUUGCCCUUGUGAUCUAUGGUAGCAAAGCUCACACCGUGUUCGCUUUGGACACCCACACAAGCAAUUCAGCUGUCCUCCAAGCCAUCGACCGAGCGCCCUUCCUUGGAGACUCAGCCUCUGCUGGCAGGGCCUUGCUGCAUAUUUAUGGUGACGUGAUGACAGUGCAGAAAGGAGUGAGACCUGGUGUCAACAAGGUGGUGGUGGUGCUCACAGAUGGAGGCAGCAUGGAGGAUGCAGCUGCCCCAGCACAGCAGCUGAGGGACAACGGGAUCUUGGUGUUUGUGGUUGUCAUUGGGGAUGCACAGAGGAACACGCUGCUGAGGGUUGCUGGGUCUCCCAGCUACCUGAUCCACAUCUCCUCCUACGAAGACCUGCAGUAUUACCAAGACCUUAUCAUCGAAAGAAUCUGUGAAGAAGCAAAAAGCCCCGUGAACCUGUGCAAACCCAACCCGUGCAUGAACCAGGGCGUGUGCAUCCUGGGGUCUGGGAGCUACCGCUGCGAGUGCCACGGCUGGGAAGGACCCCACUGUGAGAGCGGAGUGCUCCGCGGUUAUUCUCCAAGAUCCCCAGUCCUUCCUAUUCACUCCCACGCACAGCGGAGUUCCAGUGGUUUGCAGCACUUCUCCAGAGCCUCCCGGCACACCAGAAGACGUGUGGAUCAGAGACACUGAUGUGCUGAGUGCUCCAGUUCCCCAUCUGGGAACACUCGCUGCCACUCACAGGCAUGAUCCAGCAAGUCACCGAAGCCACCACUGCCCUUGGCAGGGAUUGAGCUGCUCCAGCACAGGGGCUGCGCUGAGGCUGUUCCCUGUUCCUGUAUUGCACAAACUGGGCUUCCCAAGUGCUCUCGUUCUUUUUUAAUCAAAAUUUGGCCCAGGUCAAAUCCAGUUACCUGUGCUGCAAACACACCAGGUAAGGGCAAUCCUCCAGCCAUUUCCAAAUAAAGGUCUCGUCUGUUGUAGGUCCCGGAUGGAGCCAUGGUUUGUACUGUCCUGCUGGUCUUUGGACCUUGGUCUAUCUGCUUUCAGGCUUAACUCCAUUCUUGCCCUCCCAGCCUCGCUGUUAUCUGCCAGCCACAGUGACCUGGAGGGGACAGGACCGGGACAAUGUUCUGAGCAGCUUCGUACAAGUGCAGGCAACAUGCAGGUCAGAGGAGGAAAAGGCUUGGACUUCUCCUCCCAGAUCUCAUAAUACUUUCCUUUCCCCUUCCCCCCCCCAUUUAUUUUCACCCCUUUUUCCCCCCUUUCUUUCACCCCCAUUUUUUUCCCCUUUUCCCCCCAUUUUUUCCAUUUUCCUUUUCUUUGUCCUCCUGCUGGCCACUGCUUUGCUCUCUCCUUUGCCAGUGAAUGUUUUUCUCUUAUUCUUUCUUUCUUGCCCAUUCCAGGUCAAGUCUCACCUUCUCUUUUUGGUGCUGUUUCUAUUGCUCUGAGCAUUGCCAUGUUGCUUCGCUCUUCUUUUGGACCUGGCUGAUGAGAACAGCAUACUUGUCCUGUCCUGAGCCCAGCUGGAUGAGCUGAAUGGCAUUUCUGCCUUCCCUCAUUGCUUUAAUUGAUCUCGUCUCCAGCACAGCAGCGGUCUCUGCAGCACAAGCUGGUGGGCUGUGAUGGUUCGCAUGUGUCUCUAAAGACAGUUUGGCUACAUGCCUGCAUCCUUCAGAGCAUCAUUCUCACUGGAUCACUAGAUCAGUUUGCCCAUGGAGCUGUAAUUGCUCCCCCAGGGCCUGUGGUUCACACUGUUGGGUUGUUCUCUGCUGACUUUCCCAUGGUGUCCAUCACCUCGGGAGAGCAGGAACAGCUCUGGACAGGGCUGAGGCAGAGACAGCAACAGUGACUGACAGUGCUUGUGAAAAUAGCAUCUGUUGUUCUCAGAAGAAGAAAAAUCCCUUCACGCAGAUGUCCUGGCCCCGUGUUUGAAUAGUAACAUUAGAUGCACAAAGAGAGACACAAAUUACUCCACAGGUUCAUUGUCAAAAGAAUGGUCUAAAGCUGGCACUGAGACAGGAGCAGCACUAUUUUACCUCUUGGGAGAAGCCAGGGUAGGAGAAAGAGGAGACUUUCUUCUUUUCACUGCCACUUUAGUAGAUGGUGUCUUAAGGCACAGCAAGACAGAGGCUUAGUUGAAGGGCUGACAUGUGGGAUAGACAGGGAAUCUAAUCUGUUAAUGUUACUUAGGCAUGGCUGUAGCUAGGCAUUGCCUCUGCUCUAAAACUGUCAGUUGUCUCUUGUUUAGGGAGAAUGGGCUAGAUCAGACUCAGAGCUGACAUCUGAAGCCGUGGUUUGUAUUUUUAUGGUGCGGAACCAUCCGUGGAGCUGGCUGGGUUCCAACCAGCCUGCUCUGAAAACUCUCCCCAGCCUUCCUGCACAUCCUCUGUUGUGUGGCGAGUCAAAUAUGGCCAUUUCUUACCAUCACUGUCCCAUUAUGUCAUUGGGUUUACAGCUCCCUGGAAGCUUCUCUGUUGUAGAUUAUCUAACAGCAUCAUUCGUUCACUCCUCACGGGCACUUGUCCUCUGCAGGAUCGGUCUUCCCUCUCAAACUGAAGCGCAUUUACCGUGUCGGGCACACAGCUGUGGAGCUGGGAUGUGCUUUCCCAGCCUUGUGCAGAUGUUUAAGCCUUUUCUUUGUUUUUCUGCCUGCAGGAUAGUUUGUACAGUGCUGUUGAGCACUUUAACUUGUGCAAAUGUGGGUUGGCUGUUAUCUUUGCAGGUUCUUUUUAUUUUAUUAUGUAGCUAGUAAUUACAUUUUUAGAGUGCAUGGGCUUUACUGGAAUGAGGGACGCUGAGGCUCCUGAGUUGGGGGAAACCCUGCAUUUAUACCAUCCUGUUGGUUUUAAACACAGAUAGGCAAAUCUCUAAGUAUGAUUCAGGAAAUGCAAACUGAAAUCUCAUGCUCGAUGAGAUACAUCUAGCCCCAUGCAUCAGUUUGAAACUCACGGAAGAGUUUCAGGAAAGCUGCUUCCUAAAACCCAACCCUGAGCUUCUGGGUGCAUCUGGCCAAGGUCUCUGUGCCCAAAAAUGCCGCAGGGAUCCCCGUGUGCUGUGACUGUGACCUUCCUCCAAAUGUAGCUGAUCGCUGAAGCCUCGGAUGGUUGCUCAGACCUGCUAUGUCAGCGCCCACCAGCCCUCCUUUUGUAUAGGACAAAGCACUUUGCAAGGUAAGGAGCUAUCGGGGUGUUGGGAGGAGAUGGGGAGAGCCAAGCUGAUAACAGCAUCAGGACGUGUGGGAUGGUCUUGGAGAGACCUGCUGAUCCCAUGGGCAAGCAGGACAUUACUGAGCAGUUGUUGGAGCUCUUUUCUUUUUGGGUGUGGUGUAUUUUUUUUGUUUUUUAAUUAAACAUUUGAGUUGAAGGUCCUGGCUAAUUUCUAGGCCUUUUCUCUUGCAAAUUUUAAUUUAAACAGCAUGACUUGGCUCUCUGACAUGAUCCCUUGUUAAACUCACUCUCACAGACUUGCAGUGGUUUAAUCAGAAAUACUUAAUGAGAACUAACCUGAUGGAAGCUCGUUCCCUUGAGGCUGGGUCAAUGUUGGUCCCUGCGAAGCCAGUGCUAAUCCUGUCUGGCAUCAGGGGAGUGCAGGGGAUGGGGUCUGUGCCAGGUAUUUUUUAGGUGUCUGAGCUGUUCCUAACAGCUGUGAUUUCCUCUUGCUCCAUAGGAUUGCUGGAUGAACCCUGGCUGGUCGUGGGCCGUGUGCUGAAUUCAGGGGAGAGACAGUUUAUCCUGUAAGAAACUGGGAUUUAACUAAACCUCAUCCUGGUUUUCCCUUCAGUGACUGCAGGAGGCACCAAGCCUGGCACACCGUUGCUAUCUAGUGGCCAGAGGAAGGCAGUGGAUGAAUUUUUCUCUGUUUUGUGCAAAAGGACCGUGCUACUGAGACGCAG